Molecule: ribosomal RNA, 1551 nt
Filed under: Staphylococcus haemolyticus
Lineage: Bacteria; Bacillati; Bacillota; Bacilli; Caryophanales; Staphylococcaceae
Also listed under: 1 other name
Description: bacterial SSU rRNA
Rfam family: Bacterial small subunit ribosomal RNA
Source: RNAcentral
UUUAUGGAGAGUUUGAUCCUGGCUCAGGAUGAACGCUGGCGGCGUGCCUAAUACAUGCAAGUCGAGCGAACAGACAAGGAGCUUGCUCCUUUGACGUUAGCGGCGGACGGGUGAGUAACACGUGGGUAACCUACCUAUAAGACUGGGAUAACUUCGGGAAACCGGAGCUAAUACCGGAUAAUAUUUCGAACCGCAUGGUUCGAUAGUGAAAGAUGGUUUUGCUAUCACUUAUAGAUGGACCCGCGCCGUAUUAGCUAGUUGGUAAGGUAACGGCUUACCAAGGCGACGAUACGUAGCCGACCUGAGAGGGUGAUCGGCCACACUGGAACUGAGACACGGUCCAGACUCCUACGGGAGGCAGCAGUAGGGAAUCUUCCGCAAUGGGCGAAAGCCUGACGGAGCAACGCCGCGUGAGUGAUGAAGGUCUUCGGAUCGUAAAACUCUGUUAUUAGGGAAGAACAUACGUGUAAGUAACUGUGCACGUCUUGACGGUACCUAAUCAGAAAGCCACGGCUAACUACGUGCCAGCAGCCGCGGUAAUACGUAGGUGGCAAGCGUUAUCCGGAAUUAUUGGGCGUAAAGCGCGCGUAGGCGGUUUUUUAAGUCUGAUGUGAAAGCCCACGGCUCAACCGUGGAGGGUCAUUGGAAACUGGAAAACUUGAGUGCAGAAGAGGAAAGUGGAAUUCCAUGUGUAGCGGUGAAAUGCGCAGAGAUAUGGAGGAACACCAGUGGCGAAGGCGACUUUCUGGUCUGUAACUGACGCUGAUGUGCGAAAGCGUGGGGAUCAAACAGGAUUAGAUACCCUGGUAGUCCACGCCGUAAACGAUGAGUGCUAAGUGUUAGGGGGUUUCCGCCCCUUAGUGCUGCAGCUAACGCAUUAAGCACUCCGCCUGGGGAGUACGACCGCAAGGUUGAAACUCAAAGGAAUUGACGGGGACCCGCACAAGCGGUGGAGCAUGUGGUUUAAUUCGAAGCAACGCGAAGAACCUUACCAAAUCUUGACAUCCUUUGACAACUCUAGAGAUAGAGCCUUCCCCUUCGGGGGACAAAGUGACAGGUGGUGCAUGGUUGUCGUCAGCUCGUGUCGUGAGAUGUUGGGUUAAGUCCCGCAACGAGCGCAACCCUUAAGCUUAGUUGCCAUCAUUAAGUUGGGCACUCUAAGUUGACUGCCGGUGACAAACCGGAGGAAGGUGGGGAUGACGUCAAAUCAUCAUGCCCCUUAUGAUUUGGGCUACACACGUGCUACAAUGGACAAUACAAAGGGCAGCGAAACCGCGAGGUCAAGCAAAUCCCAUAAAGUUGUUCUCAGUUCGGAUUGUAGUCUGCAACUCGACUACAUGAAGCUGGAAUCGCUAGUAAUCGUAGAUCAGCAUGCUACGGUGAAUACGUUCCCGGGUCUUGUACACACCGCCCGUCACACCACGAGAGUUUGUAACACCCGAAGCCGGUGGAGUAACCAUUUGGAGCUAGCCGUCGAAGGUGGGACAAAUGAUUGGGGUGAAGUCGUAACAAGGUAGCCGUAUCGGAAGGUGCGGCUGGAUCACCUCCUUU